Molecule: ribosomal RNA, 453 nt
Filed under: uncultured bacterium
Lineage: Bacteria
Description: bacterial SSU rRNA
Rfam family: Bacterial small subunit ribosomal RNA
Source: RNAcentral
CAGGUAGCAAUACCGCUGACGACCGGCGCACGGGUGAGUAACGCGUAUGCAACCUGCCUAUAACUGGGGAAUAGCUCCCGUGAAAGGGGAAUUAACACCGCAUAACACUAUUGAUUCGCAUGGAUUGGUAGUUAAAUGUAGCGAUACAGGUUAUAGAUGGGCAUGCGUGACAUUAGCUAGUUGGUGAGGUAACGGCUCACCAAGGCUACGAUGUCUAGGGGUUCUGAGAGGAAGGUCCCCACACUGGUACUGAGACACGGACCAGACUCCUACGGGAGGCAGCAGUGAGGAAUAUUGGUCAAUGGGCGCAAGGCCUGAACCAGCCAUGUCGCGUGCAGGAAGACUGCCCCUAUGGGUUGUAAACUGCUUUUAUAGUAGAAGAAACACAUCUACGUGUAGAUGUCUGCCAGUAUACUAUGAAUAAGCAUCGGCUAACUCCGUGCCAGCAGCUGC